Long non-coding RNA from Pollicipes pollicipes, 262 nucleotides. RefSeq lists it as uncharacterized. The transcript is spliced from 3 exons. NCBI's taxonomy places the organism in Eukaryota, Metazoa, Arthropoda, Thecostraca, Pollicipedomorpha, Pollicipedidae. The record is from RefSeq and is a predicted model, not a curated record.
CCGCUGCCACCGCCACAGCCACAGCCGCAGCCGCCACCGCAGCCGCCACCGCCCGGCCUCGACCAGUCGCUCGUCCCACACGGCUUUAUGAACUGGUCGCUGGGCGGCAGCGGCGACGGCGCUGAGGGCCCGUUCGUCCCGUCGACGGAGGCCGGCGGAGCCCCAGAUGCUUUCCUGCACCGAGCGUUCAACGUGCGCUUCCAGCGUCUGCUGCAGCAGCAGCGCUACGACCAGCUUCUGGCGCGUGCACCGCCGCCGCCGC